Molecule: long non-coding RNA, 1921 nt
Organism: Pogona vitticeps (central bearded dragon)
Lineage: Eukaryota; Metazoa; Chordata; Lepidosauria; Squamata; Agamidae
Source: Ensembl
GAGAUCCCUAAAGCGAACUGUGAAAAUAGCUUGUAAAAUUUCAAACAUUUGAACAAUUCUGAAUUCGGCGAAUGUUUGGGCGGCGCUGAAGAACAUAUGGAGAAAUAGCAGCAUCGGCCGAGUCCAACUAUUGUUAUCUUUUGUUGUUGGUCACCUUGAACAAGUUUUUUUUUGGUGGAAGGGAAGAAAAUAAAUUUAGUGGCUAAGCAACAGCAAGUAGGAACCAAACUUAGGUAAAGAUGGAAGGCUGAGCGCUCCUUUAAUUCUGCCGGAAAACUCCUUUUUCAGAAGCAAACAAGAAGGAAUUACUUCAUAAUCUCUUCCCUGCCCUUGAUGGACCAUUGUUGUGGUGGUGUUAAUUGACCAUUAGUGUGGAGGACCCUCCUUUUCAAAUUCUAACUGAAGUACAGAUUGUUGAGUUGGACUUGCCUUCUCUGUUGAAAAUAAUACAUUGCUCCCUCCCUGUGGAAACGGAAAACUCUAUUGAUUUGGGCACCUGAAAUUUGUACCCAGCCUCAGCUUAUAUCUCCUGUGGCAAUAUAACUAAAGGUACCCCCCUGAGUGUGAUCGCCCAAGGGACCCAGGAUGGAAGAGGUCUGGGCAGUCUACUUGUGCCUGUUCUUGUUUAUCGUCAUCCUUAUUUUGAUGAAGACGAAGCCAGAUGAUGAUAUCAUAAAAGAAAAAGAGAAGGGAAUUUCAAGCACCUCAAGCUCAAGCUCCUUCUCCUCUGGCACCUUGGGAAAACGCCUGGAGUGCACGGAGGAAGAACUGGAGGCCUCCCUGAGGCGGCUGAGCGGUGUUUUGUUCGGUUCGGACGCCCACAAGAGAGAGCCGCAUCACGAACACCAUCAGGAAAAAGCAUCUCACCAUGCCAGUCAUGAGCACCUUGUGAAUGAGAUUGGUGAGUUACCUGCUAAUUAGCCAUAGUGUUCCACCAGAUUGUUACAAUCGGACUCGUUUUGUUCAUUUGUACCUCCAGGCUCUUGUCCUGGUGGCCCUACGGAAAACAUUCCGGAUCUUGGAUUUGACUUGUAGAGGAACCUAAGCCUGUGAUUCUCAACCUUUGGCCCUCCACAUGUUUUGACUCCCAGAAUCCUGGACUGUUAGCGAUGCCUAUAAAAGCAGAAGUUCCAAACAUCCGAUACACAGAGACUGACUGGCCUAAACAAUAUUUGCCUUUCCACAUGUGAUUGAAGACUUUGUUUACUAAAUCCCAUUACAACAUUUGGGGGGUUGGCAGUAGUAUCAGAGCACUGUUAUCUUGUGGUUUCAGUCCUUUGAUGAUGAUCUGAGCAGACUGCCUCCUUUGUAAAGGAAUCACAACCACACUUGUAAGACAGUAAGAACACUUGUGGGGUUUUUAGAGAAGUGCACUUGUGCUGCAAGUUCAGAAGACCUGCAGUCGUAAGAUGGAAUCUGCACAACGGAGGGAGCUCCCGGUGCUUGUCCCAGCUCCUGCCAACCUAGCAGUUCGAAAGCAUGUAAAAAUACGAAAUUUGAUUCUUUUUGUUCAAUUGGCAGGGGGGAGUUUCUUUUGCACCAGUUCAGCUGGCACUGCUUUUUCCAUUUUUUGGCAUAUGUGAUCACCUACCUUGAUACAAAAGGUGGUAGCAGUUGUUCCCUAUAAUAAUAUGAUGUCUUCAGCGGUCAUGGUCUUGACAGCAGGAUAAAAACUCCUGAGUGCCUGUUUUCUCCCUUUUCUGAAUAACUUUUCUAUACAGUAUCCACAGUGGGUAUCCACAGUGGGUUGGUUCCAAGCCCCCUCGUGGAUGUAAAAAAAUUUGGAAAUAUCAAACGCAAUACAGUGCAUGGUCUCUGGUUCCCUCUAGUAGUCAGUUCUGGUAAAUACAGCAUGGAAAUACACCAUGAGUUUUUAUAUAGUAUUUUCAGACAACAGAUAAGUGCAUACCAAUCCAGUUGA